CUCAUCCCUUCCCCGAAUAAGAAAUUGGGUAAGAAAUUAUCCACAUAUCCUCUCCAAAUGGGGAAAAUUCCCGAGGGUACCCAUCCCCGUGGUAAUUUUUGCCAUCCCUACUAACGAUGCACUGCCACGAUCUAGGAGUUGUGUCAAAUCAACGCUGCAAAGACGAAGAAUGAAAAUAAGAUUGGCACUGCAAAGAAAAAAGAAGAGAAAAUGAAAAAUAAUGAAGGAAAAAAUUGUAGAAGAAGAGACAACGAAAAUAUAAAAAGAAAAAGAAGAAGAUAAAUAAAAAAGAGAAACAAAAUUGAAAUUAUUGAUUUUGACUUAGUCACUUUAACCUUUGAGUGUUAGAUUUAACUGUGAAAUUGACGAAAAUGGAGCAUAGUGCUCAAGGUAAAAAAAUAAGGGGAGCUCAGUGUAAAAUGUCAAAACAUCUUGGGGCUGACGCUAAAUUACCUUCUUUUUUUUUUCUAGAAACACAACGUUUCGCGGGCCACACAGCCCGUGGCACAGUUUCAAUUACAAAUGAAAUGUUAUUUUCUUCUAGAAGCGAGUCGCUGUGAGCUAAGCAGCAAAGUUUGACCUUCUUAUCAACGACGUUUACAGGGUUUUUAAUUAUUUUUUUUUAAAAAAAAACUUGAGAAUUUUAAGAACCGCACAAACUAAAAGUAGCCUCAUCUAGUAAGAGUAAAUUAUUCAAUAUAUAUCCACUAAUUUUUGUAAUGGGUGUUGGGGGAGAGAGUUAUCAUCAAAAGCAAUCAUGUCUCACACGAGUCAUUAUUCAAUAAUUUCGGUCAACUAGACUCGCUUUAACUUUCUCGCUGAUCAUGAAUUAUGAUGAUAGUGAUAAUUAUUAGUCAGUGACACGUGUGUACGCACCGCACAUUAUUUAAUCCGAAGUUAAUUAACUCCGUUAGGUCUGCGCAUUAAACAUUUUUCAGUUUUAGUGGUCAUAAAAAGGUUUUUUUUUUAUUAUUUAACUAAAUUUCAAUCAAUUAACUAAUAAAGAAAAUUUAUUUUUUAUUUUUAAUAAAAUUUUUCAGUCUUUAAAUUAUUAAGUUGUUAAAGUGAUUUUUUUAACUUUUUGAUUAAUCUAAAAAAUGUAAAUGAUAUCACUAAAGAUAUUUGUCAAAGCAUCUCUAUCUAAUUAAUUAAUUUUUAUUCUCACCUAAAUAAAAUUUAAUAAUUAACAUUAUAACUCAUCUCUAUAACCUGUGAUAAUAUAAUAGUAGACUGUUAUUAUUUUUAUCUUUUUAUUUUCUUCAUAUUAGCAUUAUUUAUCCUCAUAAUUUUUAUCAAUAUUUUUCAUAUAAAAAAUCAUAAACUACAGUAAAAUUGAUAAAUAUAUACUAAUUUAGAAUAUAAAUGAUUCUAUUCAAUUGAACAAAAUUUAUAUUAUUAUAAUAUAUUAUCUUAUUUAUAUUUUUUGAUAUGUUUAUUAUUUGUGUAACAUUCACAAUUUCAAAGGGCAUAAAUGUAAAAAUACUAGUUUUCAAAAUUUUAAGUUAAAAAAAACAACUUAAAUUUAUUUUAACAAUUCAAAUUAAAAAAAAAAUAUCAUUCAAAUUCAAACAUUUAGUUCUAUUAAGAAUUUAGACCAAUUUAGAUUUAUUCAGAUUUCAAAUAAAUUAAAAAACACCACCUAAGUUACAUGUAACUCAAGAGUGUAUCAAAAAUUCAAGUACUACUUUUGACUAGUUUGGUAAUGUUCUACCCUUUAAAAUAAUUGUUCUUAUUUUUAUUGUAGAAAUAAUCAGUUGUAACGAGAAUCAAUUAGGCGUUUAGUAAAAUUUAUUUUAAAAAAUACUAUGAGUUUUAAAAGUAGCCAUAUGUGUUUGGUAAAUUUUAGGUUAAAUUGCUGUAAAAAUAUAAAUAAUUAAAUUGGACAUAGUAUUGAAUAAGAUUUAUUUACAUAUUUUUAAAUAUAUGUCUAAAAUAUUUUUUUCAUGUAUAUAUAAUAAUUGAUAACUGAAAUAAAUAUCUUAUAUUAUUAAUUUUAUUCUUUAUUUUGUUAUCUAAAGAUAAUUAACGACGACAACGACGAUAAUAAUAAUAAUAACUUUUAAAAGCUAAUGAUUUUAUUUCAUAAUUAAUUAACAAGGAUACUUUUGGAUUCUUACAACAUAUUAUAUAUAUACAUAGCUUUUCAAAAUCUACUGCAUGGUGCAGUGGCUUUGCUAGAAUUAAUUGCUAAACAUAUUUAUAAAAUACUAAAAUUAAUUUUUAUUUUUUUAAAACCAUUUUUGAACAUCAAAAAAUUAAUUCUAAAUGGAAUCUUAGUUGUUAAUAUGUCUUAAUUAACGUAUUAGAUAUAUCAUUUGUGUUAGAUAUAAAUCACAUAUAACACUUAAUAACAAUAUAUUCAUUUCAUUUAUAAGAUUUAAUUGAUAUAAUACUUACCAAAUAUCAAAAUUAACUUUUGUCCUUUCAAAAUCACUUUUAAACAUCUAAAAAAUAAUUCUAAGUGGAUCCUUAGUUGUUAAUAUGUCUUAACUUGUUAUGCAUAUCUUUUGCGUUAGAUAUGCAUUACAUAUAACACUUCAUAACAUUAUAAUCAGAUUGAUUUGUAAAAUUAAAUUAAAUUAAUCUGAUAAAUUAGCCUGAGGUUUUAACUCUAUUCCUUUUUAUGAUAGUAAUAACUAUGAAAAAGCGAUACAUGUGUAUGCACCAGCACCACACAUUUUUCAGUUUGAUUUGAGAGGCCAUAAUUUUUUCCUGGCCUCAUCUUCACCUAACAAGGAGAAUUUUUUUCACCUUUUUUAGUUAAUUUACGAAUUAAAAAGAAAAAAAGACACACUUGAAGAGGAAAAAUCGUAGGAGAGUUUUUUUAUUUUGACAGAACUUCAUGAUUUCAUUAAAGAGAGGACCAGGAAAGCCGUUGUACCGUACAUGAGAAAUUUCUACUGGGAGCAUCCUGCAGAUGUACAGCCGUAACACCAAGUUUAUUGUCAGCUGAGAGAGCCAAUUCACUGCAUUACAAGCUUGGAAUGAUUUGCUGCCAGAUGUAAAGCUCCUUAAUUUUGCAUGAUCGAUUUGACACCUGCUCUACCCUUGACCAUUGAUUAAGCCAAUGAAGCUCUGCGAAUCUAAUUGGAUAGGCCCGUAUCCAUGGCGGGAGACCUCUUUCCAGAUCAGCUACAGCCUCGAGAAAUUCUAAUUGCUUGCAGCAGCGUCCAUGUCAGCACCACUGGAUUUCGAUUAGUAUUCAAGACAAGUUUAUCUAGAACUUCUGACAUUUUGCGCGUUCGAGAAAAUUAUUGUACGGACGUACAUCAAUUUAUUGACAAAUAUUGGGUUUGGAAAACAUCAUUUUCACUUGCGCAACGUUGUUGUCUAUCCAGUCAAAAGAAGCAAAUUCGUUUAUUCUUACGUAAACGGCCGGUGGAAUGUUCUUCAAAGUUGAGAAGAUCGAGAUGAAUUGUCAUGACCUAUAUAGCUAAUGCAAGCUGGAAGGCUAAUGGGCUACCGGCCAACUGGUGACACCAUGUUCCCAAUUUUUAAAAUUGGAUGCGGGUGGGGAUUUAAUUUUAACGAAGUAGAUUUCUUUUCUUCUUUUUUUUUUUUUUUAAAUAUUUGUGAUGUUAAAAAUUUAAUUUUUAUCAUAAUUAAUUAAGUUAAGCUGUCACAAUCAAUUUUUAAUUAUAA
Molecule: long non-coding RNA, 3642 nt
Filed under: Citrus sinensis (sweet orange)
Lineage: Eukaryota; Viridiplantae; Streptophyta; Magnoliopsida; Sapindales; Rutaceae
Description: long non-coding RNA (CSIN_LNC002700)
Source: RNAcentral